This 25-nucleotide small RNA is filed under the name Arabidopsis thaliana (thale cress). RNAcentral's name for it is "ATSL199180". The record is from RNAcentral. Lineage: Eukaryota; Viridiplantae; Streptophyta; Magnoliopsida; Brassicales; Brassicaceae.
UAUAAGAACUAGAACCGCAAUCGGU